This 473-nucleotide ribosomal RNA is filed under the name uncultured bacterium. RNAcentral describes it as "bacterial SSU rRNA". It matches the Rfam family "Bacterial small subunit ribosomal RNA", at positions 355 to 825 of the family's 1533-position model. The record is from RNAcentral.
UGGGGAAUUGUUCACAAUGGGCGCAAGCCUGAUGACGCAACGCCGCGUGGGGGAUGAAGGUCUUCGGAUCGUAAACCCCUGUCGAAUGGGACGAAAGACUCGCGAGUGAAUACUUCGCGAGAGUGACGGUACCGUUAAAGGAAGCCACGGCUAACUCUGUGCCAGCAGCCGCGGUAAUACAGAGGGUGCAAGCGUUAAUCGGAAUUACUGGGCGUAAAGCGCGCGUAGGUGGUUUGUUAAGUUGGAUGUGAAAGCCCCGGGCUCAACCUGGGAACUGCAUCCAAAACUGGCAAGCUAGAGUACGGUAGAGGGUGGUGGAAUUUCCUGUGUAGCGGUGAAAUGCGUAGAUAUAGGAAGGAACACCAGUGGCGAAGGCGACCACCCGGACUGAUACUGACACUGAGGUGCGAAAGCGUGGGGAGCAAACAGGAUUAGAUACCCCAGUAUUCCCUGAGCGGGCUGGCAAGGCGCAU